AUUGAACGCUGGCGGCAGGCCUAACACAUGCAAGUCGAGCGGAUGAAGGGAGCUUGCUUCUGGAUUCAGCGGCGGACGGGUGAGUAAUGCCUAGGAAUCUGCCUGGUAGUGGGGGAUAACGUCCGGAAACGGGCGCUAAUACCGCAUACGUCCUGCGGGAGAAAGUGGGGGAUCUUCGGACCUCACGCUAUCAGAUGAGCCUAGGUCGGAUUAGCUAGUUGGUGGGGUAAAGGCCUACCAAGGCGACGAUCCGUAACUGGUCUGAGAGGAUGAUCAGUCACACUGGAACUGAGACACGGUCCAGACUCCUACGGGAGGCAGCAGUGGGGAAUAUUGGACAAUGGGCGAAAGCCUGAUCCAGCCAUGCCGCGUGUGUGAAGAAGGUCUUCGGAUUGUAAAGCACUUUAAGUUGGGAGGAAGGGCAGUAGGUUAAUACCUUGCUGUUUUGACGUUACCAACAGAAUAAGCACCGGCUAACUUCGUG
This 484-nucleotide ribosomal RNA is filed under the name uncultured bacterium. Its description in RNAcentral is "partial 16S ribosomal RNA". It matches the Rfam family "Bacterial small subunit ribosomal RNA", at positions 30 to 507 of the family's 1533-position model. The record is from RNAcentral.